RNAcentral lists this ribosomal RNA (354 nucleotides) under uncultured Helicobacter sp. RNAcentral describes it as "bacterial SSU rRNA". It matches the Rfam family "Bacterial small subunit ribosomal RNA", at positions 85 to 455 of the family's 1533-position model. Lineage: Bacteria; Pseudomonadati; Campylobacterota; Epsilonproteobacteria; Campylobacterales; Helicobacteraceae. The record is from RNAcentral.
AGAUGGAUUAGUGGCGCACGGGUGAGUUAUGCAUAGGUAACAUGCCCUUUAGUCUAGGAUAGCCACUGGAAACGGUGAUUAAUACUGGAUACUCCCUACGGGGGAAAGAAUUUCGCUAAAGGAUUGGUCUAUGUCCUAUCAGCUUGUUGGUAAGGUAAUGGCUUACCAAGGCUAUGACGGGUAUCCGGCCUGAGAGGGUGAACGGACACACUGGAACUGAGAUACGGUCCAGACUCCUACGGGAGGCAGCAGUAGGGGAAUAUUGCUCAAUGGGGGGAACCCUGAAGCAGCAACGCCGCGUGGAGGAUGAAGGUUUUAGGAUUGGUAAAUCCUUUUCUUAUUAUGUAGAAGAUU